GACAGGACACAUGUGACGAGGCCCACUCCGAACUGCGUCCGCACCCGCUUCCGAGAGCAGCGCAUGGCCUCCAUCUGUCGGGCGCGAUCGCCUCCUCCCCGCCCUCCCAAGAGCGGCGCUCACCGCAGGGCGAUCCGUGCUGUCGCAGCGCCGCACAUCCUGCCCAACGGAGGUGUCUAUGAGCGAGCGGCCGUGUGGAGCGUGGGGUACGCGGAAGAAACAUCGGCGCGGCGCGCGGAAAAACAAACCGCCGCCAACAAUCGACUGGCUCCGUAUUCCUGCCAAUGUGGAUGGGGAGGCCAAGUGGGUGGUGCAGAAAGAGGAACGUUGUUUUUCUUUUUUUUCAAAUGCCAAAAAGCAAUGGGGAGCCAACCGUGCUUGUCGGAGGUGCGGAGUGUGUGUGAACAUCAACACUGGGGAGACAAAGGCAGCCGGGCAUGAUCUCCACACCACCUCCUUGUGUACAAUUCCGGCCUUUGUGCGACUGAAGGAAACGGCAUAGAUGCACGCAGGAACGGUGCACAGAGGUUUGCUUACACGUACAGCGAUUGCAUCAACACACGCGUCAUGCGUACACAUGAAAACAAUUUGAAAUGCA
Molecule: long non-coding RNA, 598 nt
Organism: Lethenteron reissneri (Far Eastern brook lamprey)
Lineage: Eukaryota; Metazoa; Chordata; Hyperoartia; Petromyzontiformes; Petromyzontidae
Source: RefSeq, a predicted model, not a curated record